Molecule: long non-coding RNA, 690 nt
Filed under: Zostera marina
Lineage: Eukaryota; Viridiplantae; Streptophyta; Magnoliopsida; Alismatales; Zosteraceae
Description: long non-coding RNA (ZMAR_LNC000897)
Source: RNAcentral
GCUUAUAGUUAUUUGUUUCUUGGAUUUUCAUGAUAUAGCUGAGCCACCUAAUAAGAUUGUGUAACCUGUGACAGAUCUUCUGGAGUUGGGGCAAUCAGCCCAAUCUACAUCACAGUAAGCUUCUAAUUUUAAAGGUGCAUCUCUUUUAUAUAGAAUACCCUUACCUGGUGCCCCUUUGAUGUAUUUCAGUAUUUUCAUGGCAGAGUUGAAGUGUGAUUGCAUGGGAUCUGCUAGGAAUUGGUUGUGAUGACUAACAAAGAAUGCUAUAUCUGAUCUUGUGAUUGUGAGAUAUAGUAACUUUCCAAUUAAUUUUCUAUAAAUUGAUGGAUCUUUUAGUGGAGCAUCAUUUUCAGAAUUUUUGAAGUUGUGAGACAUUGGAAUUUUUAAUGGAGAGGAUUCCAAUUGACCAAAAUCGUGUAGGAUAUCCAGUGCAUAUUUUCUUUGUCAUAAGAAAAUCCCCAAGUUGGAUUGAGACACUUCAAUUCCUAAAAAAAUAUUUGAGUUUCCCCAAAUCUUUUAUGUGAAAUUGAAGGUGUAAGUGUUCUUUUAAUUUUUGUAUUUCAGCAUCAUUGUCACCAAAUAUGAUCAAAUCAUCAACAUAUAUGAGCAAGCAAGUAUAUGAGUUUUGAUUUGUUUUGUAGAAUAGUGCGUAAUCAGAAUGUGAUUGUGUGUAACCAAACUUAGUUAGGG